UACGAAGGGGGCUAGCGUUGCUCGGAAUCACUGGGCGUAAAGGGUGCGUAGGCGGGCCUUUAAGUCCGGGGUGAAAUCCUGGAGCUCAACUCCAGAACUGCCUUUGAUACUGAAGAUCUUGAGUUCGGGAGAGGUGAGUGGAACUGCGAGUGUAGAGGUGAAAUUCGUAGAUAUUCGCAAGAACACCAGUGGCGAAGGCGGCUCACUGGCCCGGUACUGACGCUGAGGUGCGAAAGCGUGGGGAGCAGACAGG
RNAcentral lists this ribosomal RNA (253 nucleotides) under uncultured bacterium. RNAcentral's name for it is "partial 16S ribosomal RNA". It matches the Rfam family "Bacterial small subunit ribosomal RNA", at positions 524 to 776 of the family's 1533-position model. The record is from RNAcentral.